RNAcentral lists this long non-coding RNA (1543 nucleotides) under Medicago truncatula (barrel medic). Its description in RNAcentral is "long non-coding RNA (MTRU_LNC006389)". Lineage: Eukaryota; Viridiplantae; Streptophyta; Magnoliopsida; Fabales; Fabaceae. The record is from RNAcentral.
CCAUGCCUACAUCUAUGGUUCAAAUUUUCUCGUUAAAAAAUCAAGGGUUAAUACCCCUUUUGGUCCCUGUAAUAUGAGAAAUUUUCAAUUUUAGUCCCUGUAAAUAAGAAAAUUUAGAUUCUGUCCCUAUCAUUUCAUAUUUUUCCACUUUUGGUCCCUCGCUCAAACUAGUCAGCAGAAUAUGCUGACGUGUCCUACUGAUUGUGUAAUUAUUUUCUUUUUUUUUUUAAUUGGUUUCAGAUGCCACUUGUAUAUUUAAUUUAUAAACCAUUUAUUUAAAUGUUAAAAUUUUUAAAAUCAAAUCAUCCAAUUAAAAUCAUUCAUCAAUGUUUUCCAUCUUCUCCUUCCCAUCGUGACUCUUCUUCUUCAUACUCCUCAAGAUUCUUCUUCUUCCAUUCAAACCCAAACUCAUGAAUCUUCAUCAUCUUCAACUCAAACUCAUAAAAACUUAUAACCAGUAAUCUCAUCACCCAUUUUCUCCCUCAUUUUCUUCAAUGCUCUUUCAACCUUUCUCUUUCCCACACAAACCUUCAUCUCCAAAACAAAACCCAUAACCCAAAAAAAACUAAACUUUAAAUAAAAAAUGGAAAAGUGUGAGUCAAGGAUGAUGGGUUUUCCAGAUCUGGAAUUGGGAGAUAGAAAAUCGAAUUCCAACACCCAUCCAUUUUCAAAUCUGCAAUUAACCCUGGAGUUGGGAGAGAAAAAAAUGAAUUCGAAAUUACCAUGUUUUGAGAAUGAAUUUCAGGGUUUGUUGAUGGAUUUUUGGAUGAAGAAGUUGAACACUUGUUAACCAAAAAAAUUGAAAUUUAUGAAAGGGUAAAAGAAGAACCUGAAUUUAUGGAUGAAGAACCCGAAUUUAUGCCACUUGGGUUUAUGAUGAAGAGGAAGAAGAAGAACCUGUUUUUUUUUUUUUUUAAGAGAAGAAGAAGAAUCGUUCUUGUUGCUGCAUAUUCUUGUUUUUGUUGUUUUUUAUUUAUUUUUUUUUUUUUACGAAAAUAUAUUUUGUGGUUUUUUAAUUGUAAUUUUAAUAUGUUUUUUAUUUAAUUUUUAAAUAAAAUAAACAACUGAAUCCAAGUGGCAUUUGAAUCCAAUUAAAAAAAUGAAAAAAAAUAAGAUAAUUACACAAUCAGUUGGAUACAUCAGCAAAUUUUGCUGACAAGUUUAAGUGAGGGAUCAAAAGCGGAAGAAUCUCAAAUGAUAGGGAUAGAAUCUAAACGUUUUUUUUACAGGGACAAAAACCGGAUUUCGCUCAUAUUACAGAGACCAAAAUAUGUAUUAAUCCAAAAAUCAAUUAACAUUUGUCUCAAUUGUAUGUUAUUUCUAUAACUAAUUUUAAAAUCGUUUAAAAUUAUCGCUCUUUUGAUAUUUUCCCCUUGUAUGUAUUGAUGAAGACUAAAAAAGAAAUACAAAUAAUAAUGGAGGCUCAUAAGAAAAAUGUAUUACUUAUCCCCGUGAGCAUAGUUCAGUUGAUAGGGACAUGCAUUGUUAUAUGUAGGGGUCGGAAUUCGAACCCCGGACACCUCACUUAUUCACCUUAAAAAAU